UUUGAAUCAUACAAUCAAGAGGCACUUUUAACUAGUUGCAAGUUCAAUAAUGUCUUUCUACAAAUCAUUACCAAACAACUAGAAGCUCAAUGUAUGGUGCAAGCAACCUUUCAAAAUAAUCCUCAUUUCAACACCUUCAAUCUUGGAGUGAGGAAUCACAUGAAUUGUUCUUAUGGAGCUAAUCUGAAUCAAGCAUUUCCUCAAGAUCAACAUUUUGAAGAUCACCUUGAAUCUUUUGAAGAUACUCU
Molecule: long non-coding RNA, 248 nt
Filed under: Trifolium pratense (red clover)
Lineage: Eukaryota; Viridiplantae; Streptophyta; Magnoliopsida; Fabales; Fabaceae
Description: long non-coding RNA (TPRA_LNC005547)
Source: RNAcentral